UCUGUAGCAAGGUUAACCGAAUAGGGGAGUCGAAGGGAAACCGAGUCUUAACUGGGCGUUAAGUUGCAGGGUAUAGACCCGAAACCCGGUGAUCUAGCCAUGGGCAGGUUGAAGGUUGGGUAACACUAACUGGAGGACCGAACCGACUAAUGUUGAAAAAUUAGCGGAUGACUUGUGGCUGGGGGUGAAAGGCCAAUCAAACCGGGAGAUAGCUGGUUCUCCCCGAAAGCUAUUUAGGUAGCGCCUCGUGAAUUCAUCUCCGGGGGUAGAGCACUGUUUCGGCAAGGGGGUCAUCCCGACUUACCAACCCGAUGCAAACUGCGAAUACCGGAGAAUGUUAUCACGGGAGACACACGGCGGGUGCUAACGUCCGUCGUGAAGAGGGAAACAACCCAGACCGCCAGCUAAGGUCCCAAAGUCAUGGUUAAGUGGGAAACGAUGUGGGAAGGCCCAGACAGCCAGGAUGUUGGCUUAGAAGCAGCCAUCAUUUAAAGAAAGCGUAAUAGCUCACUGGUCGAGUCGGCCUGCGCGGAAGAUGUAACGGGGCUAAACCAUGCAC
This 559-nucleotide ribosomal RNA is filed under the name Escherichia coli. Its description in RNAcentral is "partial 23S ribosomal RNA". It matches the Rfam family "Bacterial large subunit ribosomal RNA", at positions 634 to 1194 of the family's 2925-position model. The record is from RNAcentral. Lineage: Bacteria; Pseudomonadati; Pseudomonadota; Gammaproteobacteria; Enterobacterales; Enterobacteriaceae.